GUGAGCUUUCAGUGAGAGACUGAACACGAUCCCGCGCGGUUCGGUCUCCGCGACGAUCGAAAUCACACACAUACACAUCAAACACACACACACACACACACACACACACACACACACACACACCUAAACACAUACACGUACAGGGUGUACAUAUUUUUUCCUUCCACUCGUACACACGUAUAUCCGUGUAAGUACGUCGCGCGCGUCUAUCUAUACGCGGUCUAUAUUUUUCUAUGACGAUGAUUAGGUGACUUUUGUAUCCCCAACACGUCCAACACGAGUAUAUAUGUGUGUGUAUCUACAUAUAUACGGGAGACGAGACCGUUACCGUGUGCGUGCGUGCGUGUAUAAAUUCAUGUACGGUGCGGGAUCGGUAGACCCGGCAGACUCCACCAUUACCGAUGGGCAGGACAGAUAUGUCAAAGACGCUCAACGCCUAUAGGAUUAAAAAGAUCGAGAACAUCGGCAGAAUGACAGCGAUGACGCAGGAGGAAAUCGUGGCCGGAGCGCGGACGGUCGCUCAGGGCCUGGAGGCUCUGCGAGUUGAGCACGGCGGUCUGUUACAAGGCCUGCAGUCUCAGGACUCACCAGCCGCCCGAGACAAAGCCAGUUUGCUGUCCAAGAUCAUUGAAAUGAUCGACAUGGGUCUGGGUGAGGCGCAGGUGAUGCAGACACUGGCAAGCCAUCUGCAAAUGGUGGAGGCGGAGAAACAGAAGCUGAGGACACAAGUGAAGAGGCUCUGUCAGGAAAACGCCUGGCUCAGGGACGAACUAGCCAGCACUCAGCAAAAGCUGCAAGCGAGCGAGCAAGCUGUUGCGGGAUUGGAAGAGGAAAAGAGACAUCUAGAUUUCAUGGCCAGUAUGCGACAAUACGAUCCAGAUCCGUCCACGGAGGAUGAAAACGCUAAGGACCGACCGAAGGACGAUCCUGUAGUGGACCUUUUCCCCGACGAUGACGCGGACGAUCGCAAUAGCAAAUCCAUAUCUCCGACUCCGCCAUCGCAGUUCGCGCAGCAAGUGAACGCCGGCUACGAGAUACCAGCACGUCUGCGCACGCUGCACAACCUGGUAAUCCAGUAUGCGAGUCAGGGCCGCUACGAGGUAGCGGUCCCCCUAUGCAAGCAAGCCCUCGAAGAUCUGGAGAAGACUUCCGGUCACGAUCACCCCGACGUGGCGACCAUGCUAAACAUUCUCGCUCUCGUGUAUCGAGAUCAGAACAAGUAUAAAGAGGCCGCGAAUCUCCUGAACGACGCUCUAGCCAUCCGGGAGAAGACGCUGGGUGAGAAUCAUCCGGCGGUGGCGGCGACGCUGAACAAUCUCGCGGUGCUGUACGGGAAACGGGGCAAGUACAAGGAGGCUGAACCCCUGUGCAAGCGGGCGCUGGAGAUUCGCGAGAAGGUGCUUGGCCGCGACCACCCGGACGUGGCGAAACAGCUGAACAACUUAGCGUUACUAUGCCAGAACCAGGGCAAGUACGAGGAGGUCGAGCGCUACUAUCAGCGCGCGCUUGAAAUCUACGAGGCCAAGCUGGGCCCGGACGAUCCGAAUGUCGCGAAAACGAAAAACAAUCUGGCGUCUUGUUACCUGAAACAGGGCAAGUACAAGGAUGCCGAGGUGCUGUACAAACAAGUGCUCACCAGAGCGCACGAGAGGGAAUUUGGUGCCAUCGAUGGCGACAACAAGCCGAUCUGGCAGGUGGCUGAAGAGAGAGAGGAGAACAAGCAUAGGAACAAGGAGAACACACCGUACGGUGAAUAUGGCGGUUGGCACAAAGCCGCGAAAGUCGACUCGCCUACUGUCACCACUACCCUAAAGAAUCUCGGUGCGCUCUACCGAAGACAGGGCAAGUAUGAGGCCGCGGAAACGCUCGAGGAUUGCGCCAUGAGGUCCCGAAGAGAGCACGUGCAGCAAGCUCUGGACCUGGUGAACAAGGCGCGAGUGGCACAACUGCUGGGCGACGAGAAGAGCUCGACCAGACGCGGCUCGCGGUCUAGCCUGGCCAAUAGCGAGCACGAGCAGAGCCACGAAGAGGGUACGAGAUGGCGACGAUGAUGAUGUAUGAUGAUGCUGUAAAGAAUACAUCGGACGACGGAUGGAUUAAUAACAAGGAAUGGAAGUAUGCCUUUCGCGCAAAAUAAAAAAAAAUGUUCAUCGAAGAAACUUGAUGUACUAUAAUCUCUCGAGAACGGACGAUGAUGAUGAUGAUGAUGAUGAUGAUAAGUCGGAAAGGGAAUUCUGCAACACGUUGACCGAUGAUGUUCAUUAUAUCCGGAUCGUCGUUUGCGUACAUAGCACACAUUCCAGUUGCUUCUCUAACGAAAAACUGCACCGUAAGCCGAGUUAACUCCGUUGCUGCUAAUUUCUCACGCGUAGCUGUAUACGGAUGACUUGAACAAAAAAAGUGUCACGAAUUGGCGUUAAUUGCGUAUCGUCGAAUGAGUAUGUUUCGAUGAAUCUCAAAUGAUAUUAAAUAAUCCGAAUCAAAACUCCAAAGAGAUCAUGAUCACUUAUCUCACACACAUUGGUAUGAUUGCGCGUGUACAUGCGUUUUUCCACGAUUUCCUUCGCGACAAUGCAUUGUUCCAAUUGAUGCUAGACCUUAAAUAAAUGACCGUGUUGCUAUCAACAUUGGCUGAGACGCAUCCGUGUCGCUUAAUAUAAACGUAUGCUCUGUAUAUCGUCUGAUUUUAUAUUUCCGUUGUAAUCUUCAACGUUCAUCGCACACAGAUAUUAUUUUUAAUGACAAAUUGCGUUAGCUAGAGGUCUCUUGAGUUUAUCGAGCAAGUGAUUUUUUAACACUUUCGAUUGGAUCGUCUCUUUUCGUUUCACGUAUGUCUUCGAUAUUCUCUGUAUUUACGCGCCUGAGAGCUUGAAGGCCUAGAUCCUCUUUUCAUUAUAUUUCGUGGAUGUUAAUUGUCAACAGGUAUCACGGUAUCUCAGAUUCUGCGAUUUUUAAACUUCGUACCAUAAAAAUGUUGCCGUGAUAAACAGCAAUAAUAGAAUUAAAUUGGUCCUAACAGAAAAAAAUUAUUCUUUUUACAAUGUUUUAGACAUUAGACUGUGUUAUGUAACGGUAUCAGAGAUUUUGAAUGAUAUCCACUGAGAAUUGAAUAUUUAUACUUCUUGCAAAUCACUUUUCCAAAUUAUUCGAAAUUUGUAAAAUCAUUUUCCGACAGCGAUAAAUCAUUAACUGAGAAAAGAUUACUUGAAGUAAUAAGGAAGCUCGAAGCGCAUCUUAUUUAUCUAACGUAUUUCAUGUUUUUGUUAUUUGUUGAAUAUUUUGCGGUUACAUUUUGUAUAUCGUGCGUCGAGAAGCAUAUAAAUACAUAUACAUACAUACAGAUAUGUAACACGAUUAUUUACACGACUACACUGUGUGUUAUCAUCUACACCAAACGAAGAAUUUUCCUAAAAUAAUGACGCUUUUAUAUUCGAUGCAAGUGAUGUAAGAGAAUAAUACUAUCACAAAUAAUGUUCGAGAAGUAUAAUAUUAUCAAUUCACAUACAAUAUACAUAGGUACCAUUUUACCAUGUAUGCAAUGCAUAAUAAUAGCGGAGCUUUUGACAUGUACUGUAGCUCUCAGGUGCAAAUAUUGUUAUUUAAUCACAUACAUAUAUGUGUAUAAGCUUUGAUUUAUAAUAAAUAUUUCCACUUGUAUAUCUCUCUUGUUAUUUUGAUCUUUUAAUCUCACCAGAAUAAUUAUAAUAUUUAUGUACAAUUGAUUUUAUAUGAUCGAGAGUGUGUUUUAGUAUUUUAAGAUUUUGUUAUUCUCUUAUAAGUAAAAUAAAAUAUUAAGUAAAUUCAGAUUAAAAUAUUAUAUGGUUGUUUUCUCGCAUUAAGUGUAAAAAAAAA
This 3852-nucleotide unclassified non-coding RNA is filed under the name Ooceraea biroi (clonal raider ant). RNAcentral's name for it is "kinesin light chain, transcript variant X6". Lineage: Eukaryota; Metazoa; Arthropoda; Insecta; Hymenoptera; Formicidae. The record is from RNAcentral.